RNAcentral lists this ribosomal RNA (301 nucleotides) under uncultured bacterium. Its description in RNAcentral is "partial 16S ribosomal RNA". It matches the Rfam family "Bacterial small subunit ribosomal RNA", at positions 509 to 807 of the family's 1533-position model. The record is from RNAcentral.
CAGCAGCCACGGUAAUACGGAGGGAGCUAGCGUUGUUCGGAAUUACUGGGCGUAAAGCGCACGUAGGCGGUUAUUCAAGUCAGAGGUGAAAGCCCGGGGCUCAACCCCGGAACUGCCUUUGAAACUAGAUGACUAGAAUCUUGGAGAGGUCAGUGGAAUUCCGAGUGUAGAGGUGAAAUUCGUAGAUAUUCGGAAGAACACCAGUGGCGAAGGCGACUGACUGGACAAGUAUUGACGCUGAGGUGCGAAAGCGUGGGGAGCAAACAGGAUUAGAUACCCCCGUAGUCCCUGUCUCUUAUAC